RNAcentral lists this long non-coding RNA (599 nucleotides) under Malus domestica (apple). RNAcentral describes it as "long non-coding RNA (MDOM_LNC006684)". The record is from RNAcentral. Lineage: Eukaryota; Viridiplantae; Streptophyta; Magnoliopsida; Rosales; Rosaceae.
AGAGAGCAGCACUUGCUGCUGUGCAGCGUGGAGGAAAAAGGGGACAGAAACUGCACAUUUGCAGCGCAGUUAGAAGAAUAAAACAGAAACUGCACCUUUGCAGCCUUGGCAGCGUGUGAAACAGAGGAAGAAGGCUGCUUGGGGCAGCUGAGAAAAGAAGGAAAAAAAUAAAAGAAAGGGGCUUCUUGUGCAGCUUUGAAACCGAGAAAAGGUUGCCCUUGCAACCUCGGCACAGAAAAAGAAGCGAGAGCACGGACAGAAACAGAAGCAGCAAGCUUCUCCUCUUUCGGUUUAAACUUUCCAACUUAUAUUUUACUUUUGGUUAAAUGUUAUAAUAAUGUGUAACUAAAUUCAUUUUGGCUAGAGGUUAAUUCAAAGCCAUGAAUAUAUUUGUAAUAUGAAUUGAUUACCUUCAGUUGUGAUUUCUGAGUUGUGAUUUAAUUUGCUUAACUGCUUGAUUUAUAACUUAUUUUUGUAUGUCGAUUAAGGAUGCAUACUUAAUUUACAUGCAUGAAUUUGAUGCUAGAAUAUAAGUGAAUUUCACCUAAUCGUUAUGAACUUAUAUUCACAAGUAGUGAAGGUUGCUAGUCACAAUCACG